CUGCCUGCCCGGUGACACACGUUUAACGGCCGCGGUACCCUGACCGUGCAAAGGUAGCAUAAUCACUUGUUCUUUAAAUAGGGACUUGCAUGAAUGGCAUCACGAGGGUUUGACUGUCUCUUACUUUUAACCAGUGAAAUUGACCUAUCCGUGAAGAGACGGAUAUAGCACAAUAAGACGAGAAGACCCUAUGGAGCUUUAAUUUAUUAAUGCAACUAAAAACUACACAAACCUACAGGCCCCUAAACUACUAUACCUGCAUUAAAAAUUUUGGUUGGGGUGACCUCGGAGCACAGCCAAACCUCCGAAUAAUUAAUGCUAAGACUACACAAGUCGAAGCGAACUAAUAUUUACAACUGAUCCAAUAACUUGAUCAACGGAACAAGUUACCCUAGGGAUAACAGCGCAAUUCUAUUCUAGAGUCCAUAUCGACAAUAGAGUUUACGACCUCGAUGUUGGAUCAGGACAUCCUAAUGGUGCAGCAGCUAUCAAG
Molecule: ribosomal RNA, 493 nt
Filed under: Mandrillus leucophaeus (drill)
Lineage: Eukaryota; Metazoa; Chordata; Mammalia; Primates; Cercopithecidae
Description: partial 16S large subunit ribosomal RNA
Rfam family: Bacterial large subunit ribosomal RNA
Source: RNAcentral